RNAcentral lists this ribosomal RNA (498 nucleotides) under uncultured bacterium. RNAcentral's name for it is "partial 16S ribosomal RNA". It matches the Rfam family "Bacterial small subunit ribosomal RNA", at positions 30 to 523 of the family's 1533-position model. The record is from RNAcentral.
AUUGAACGCUGGCGGCAUGCCUUACACAUGCAAGUCAAACGGUAACAGGUCUUCGGAUGCUGACGAGUGGCGAACGGGUGAGUAAUACAUCGGAACGUGCCUAGUAGUGGGGGAUAACUACUCGAAAGAGUGGCUAAUACCGCAUGAGAUCUACGGAUGAAAGCAGGGGAUCGCAAGACCUUGUGCUACUAGAGCGGCCGAUGGCAGAUUAGGGAGUUGGUGGGAUAAAAGCUUACCAAGCCGACGAUCUGUAGCUGGUCUGAGAGGACGAUCAGCCACGCUGGGACUGAGACACGGCCCAGACUCCUACGGGAGGCAGCAGUGGGGAAUUUUGGACAAUGGGCGCAAGCCUGAUCCAGCAAUGCCGCGUGCAGGAUGAAGGCCUUCGGGUUGUAAACUGCUUUUGUACGGAACGAAAAGCCCCGGGUUAAUACCCUGGGGUCAUGACGGUACCGUAAGAAUAAGCACCGGCUAACUACGUGCCAGCCGCCGCCGUAA